CGCGGUAAUACUGGCAGAACGAGUGGUGUCCACGAAUAUUGGGUCUAAAGAGACCGUAGCUGGCUUGUUAAGUCCACUGUGAAAUCUUGGGGCUCAACCUCAAGGCGUGCAGUGGAUACUGGCAGACUCGAGAGCGGGGGAGGUCAGGAGUACUUACGGGGUAUGAGUAAAAUCGGUUGAUCCUGUAAGGACUACCAGUGGCGAAGGCGCCUGACCAAAACGCGUCUGACAGUGAGGGUCGAAGGCUAGGAGAACGAAUCGGAUUAGAUACCCGAGUAGCCCUAGCAGUAAAUCAUGCAGACUGUGGUGUUGCCAUGGCUUCGGGCCAUGGCAGUGCUGUAGCGUAGGUGUUAAGUCUGCCACCUGGGGAGUACGGCCGCAAGGUUGAAACUUAAAGGAAUUGGCGGGGGAGCACCACAAGGGGUGGAUGCUGCGGUUCAAUUGGAUCAACGCCGGGAA
RNAcentral lists this ribosomal RNA (459 nucleotides) under uncultured archaeon. RNAcentral's name for it is "bacterial SSU rRNA". It matches the Rfam family "Archaeal small subunit ribosomal RNA", at positions 466 to 924 of the family's 1478-position model. The record is from RNAcentral.